RNAcentral lists this unclassified non-coding RNA (258 nucleotides) under plant metagenome. Its description in RNAcentral is "partial contains small subunit ribosomal RNA, internal transcribed spacer 1, and 5.8S ribosomal RNA". The stretch from base 1 to 53 matches the Rfam family "Eukaryotic small subunit ribosomal RNA", at positions 1778 to 1831 of the family's 1831-position model. The record is from RNAcentral.
GGAAGUAAAAGCGUAACAAGGUCUCCGUUGGUGAACCAGCGGAGGGAUCAUUACCGAGUUUACAACUCCCAAACCCCAUGUGAACCUUACCAAACGUUGCUUCGGCGGGAUGCCCCGGGCGCGGGCCGCAAGGCCUCAGCCCCGGAACCAGGCGCCCGCCGGAGGCCCAAACCAAACUCUUGUUUUUGUAGAAUCUUCUGAGUGGCCUUUUAGGCAAAAAAUGAAUCAAAACUUUCAACAGCGGAUCUCUUGGUUCUG